RNAcentral lists this ribosomal RNA (422 nucleotides) under uncultured prokaryote. Its description in RNAcentral is "bacterial SSU rRNA". It matches the Rfam family "Bacterial small subunit ribosomal RNA", at positions 355 to 774 of the family's 1533-position model. The record is from RNAcentral.
UGAGGAAUAUUGGUCGAUGGGCGUAAGCCUGAACCAGCCAUCCCGCGUGCAGGAAGAAGGCGCUAUGCGUCGUAAACUGCUUUUCCAGGGGAAGAAAACCUGCUACGUGUAGCGGCUUGCCGGUACCUUGGGAAUAAGCAUCGGCUAACUCCGUGCCAGCAGCCGCGGUAAUACGGAGGAUGCGAGCGUUAUCCGGAUUUAUUGGGUUUAAAGGGUGCGUAGGCGGAUUAAUAAGUCAGUGGUGAAAACCUUCAGCUUAACUGGAGAACUGCCAUUGAUACUGUUAGUCUUGAGUACGGUCAAGGUAGGCGGAAUGUGUAAUGUAGCGGUGAAAUGCUUAGAUAUUACACAGAACACCGAUUGCGAAGGCAGCUUACUGGGCCAUUACUGACGCUGAUGCACGAAAGCGUGGGGAGCGAACA